This 81-nucleotide non-coding RNA is filed under the name Pseudorhodoferax sp. Leaf274. RNAcentral describes it as "SAH (S-adenosyl-L-homocysteine) riboswitch aptamer". It matches the Rfam family "SAH (S-adenosyl-L-homocysteine) riboswitch aptamer". Lineage: Bacteria; Pseudomonadati; Pseudomonadota; Betaproteobacteria; Burkholderiales; Comamonadaceae. The record is from Rfam by way of RNAcentral. RNAcentral also lists the same sequence under 1 other name.
CUUCCCAAGGAGCGUUGCAGCGGGCCGAUCGACAGAUGCCCGUCAGGCUUGGGACCGCAUCCGCAACGACGCUCACCGGCC